RNAcentral lists this ribosomal RNA (492 nucleotides) under uncultured bacterium. RNAcentral describes it as "partial 16S ribosomal RNA". It matches the Rfam family "Bacterial small subunit ribosomal RNA", at positions 29 to 507 of the family's 1533-position model. The record is from RNAcentral.
AGUGAACGCUGGCGGUAGGCCUAACACAUGCAAGUCGAACGGCAGCACAGUAAGAGCUUGCUCUUACGGGUGGCGAGUGGCGGACGGGAGAGGAAUACAUCGGAAUCUACUUUUUCGUGGGGGAUAACGUAGGGAAACUUACGCUAAUACCGCAUACGACCUACGGUUGAAAGCAGGGGAUCUUCGGACCUUGCGCGAUUGAAUGAGCCGAUGUCGGAUUAGCUAGUUGGCGGGGUAAAGGCCCACCAAGGCGACGAUCCGUAGCUGGUCUGAGAGGAUGAUCAGCCACACUGGAACUGAGACACGGUCCAGACUCCUACGGGAGGCAGCAGUGGGGAAUAUUGGACAAUGGGCGCAAGCCUGAUCCAGCCAUACCGCGUGGGUGAAGAAGGCCUUCGGGUUGUAAAGCCCUUUUGUUGGGAAAGAAAAGCAGCAGGUUAAUACCACGCUGUUCUGACGGUACCCAAAGAAUAAGCACCGGCUAACUUCGUG